GACGAACGCUGGCGGCGUGCCUAAUACAUGCAAGUAGAACGCUGAAGAGAGGAGCUUGCUCUUCUUGGAAGAGUUGCGAACGGGUGAGUAACGCGUAGGUAACCUGCCUUGUAGCGGGGGAUAACUAUUGGAAACGAUAGCUAAUACCGCAUAACAAUGGGUGACCCAUGUCAUUCAUUUGAAAGGGGCAACUGCUCCACUACAAGAUGGACCUGCGUUGUAUUAGCUAGUAGGUGAGGUAACGGCUCACCUAGGCGACGAUACAUAGCCGACCUGAGAGGGUGAUCGGCCACACUGGGACUGAGACACGGCCCAGACUCCUACGGAAGGCAGCAGUAGGGAAUCUUCGGCAAUGGGGGCAACCCUGACCGAGCAACGCCGCGUGAGUGAAGAAGGUUUUCGGAUCGUAAAGCUCUGUUGUAAGUCAAGAACGAGUGUGAGAGUGGAAAGUUCACACCUG
RNAcentral lists this ribosomal RNA (460 nucleotides) under Streptococcus vestibularis. RNAcentral's name for it is "bacterial SSU rRNA". It matches the Rfam family "Bacterial small subunit ribosomal RNA", at positions 28 to 471 of the family's 1533-position model. Lineage: Bacteria; Bacillati; Bacillota; Bacilli; Lactobacillales; Streptococcaceae. The record is from RNAcentral.